This 279-nucleotide ribosomal RNA is filed under the name uncultured bacterium. RNAcentral's name for it is "partial 16S ribosomal RNA". It matches the Rfam family "Bacterial small subunit ribosomal RNA", at positions 506 to 784 of the family's 1533-position model. The record is from RNAcentral.
UGCCAGCCGCCGCGGUAAUACGGGGGGUGCAAGCGUUAUUCGGAAUUAUUGGGCGUAAAGCGCGCGUAGGCGGUUUCGUAAGUCAGAUGUGAAAUCCCCGGGCUUAACCUGGGAACUGCGUUUGAAACUACAAGGCUAGAGUGUGGCAGAGGGGGGUGGAAUUCCGCGUGUAGCAGUGAAAUGCGUAGAGAUGUGGAGGAACACCGAUGGCGAAGGCAGCCCCCUGGGUCAACACUGACGCUGAGGCACGAAGGCGUGGGGAGCGAACAGGAUUGGAUA